GUUGGGGUGGCAGAGUUUGGUUAGUGCGUGAGAUCUAAGUCCUUUUUACAGAGGUUCGAAUCCUCUCCUUAACU
RNAcentral lists this transfer RNA (74 nucleotides) under Johnius carouna. RNAcentral's name for it is "tRNA-Leu". It matches the Rfam family "tRNA". From Rfam's summary of the family: Transfer RNA (tRNA) molecules are approximately 80 nucleotides in length. Their secondary structure includes four short double-helical elements and three loops (D, anti-codon, and T loops). The record is from RNAcentral. Lineage: Eukaryota; Metazoa; Chordata; Actinopteri; Sciaenidae.